CCUACGGGUGGCAGCAGUGAGGAAUAUUGGUCAAUGGCCGAGAGGCUGAACCAGCCAAGUCGCGUGAGGGAUGACGGCCCUACGGGUUGUAAACCUCUUUUGUCGGGGAGCAAAGAGAGUCACGUGUGGCUCAUUGAGAGUACCCGAAGAAAAAGCAUCGGCUAACUCCGUGCCAGAAGCCGCGGUAAUACGGAGGAUGCGCGCGUUAUCCGGCUUUAUUGGGGUUAAAGGGGGCGCAGGCCGAGGUGCAAGUCUGUGGUCAAAUUGCGGGGCUCAACCCCGUACUGCCGUUGAAACUGCAUCCCUUGAGUGCGCGAGACGGAUGCGGAAUGCGUGGUGUAGCGGUGAAAUGUAUAGAUAUCACGCAGAACUCCGAUUGCGAAGGCAGCAUACCGGCGCGCAACUGACGCUCAUGCACGAAAGCGUGGGUAUCGAACAGGAUUAGAUACCCGAGUAGUC
This 459-nucleotide ribosomal RNA is filed under the name uncultured bacterium. RNAcentral's name for it is "partial 16S ribosomal RNA". It matches the Rfam family "Bacterial small subunit ribosomal RNA", at positions 338 to 795 of the family's 1533-position model. The record is from RNAcentral.